This 442-nucleotide ribosomal RNA is filed under the name uncultured bacterium. RNAcentral describes it as "partial 16S ribosomal RNA". It matches the Rfam family "Bacterial small subunit ribosomal RNA", at positions 338 to 795 of the family's 1533-position model. The record is from RNAcentral.
CCUACGGGAGGCUGCAGUGGGGAAUAUUUGGCAAUGGGCGCAAGCCUGACCCAGCAACGCCGCGUGAAGGAAGAAGGCUUUCGGGUUGUAAACUUCUUUUGACAGGGAAGAGCAGAAGACGGUACCUGUCGAAUAAGCCACGGCUAACUACGUGCCAGCAGCCGCGGUAAUACGUAGGUGGAAAGCGUUGUCCGGAUUUACUGGGGGUAAAGGGCGUGUAGUCGGGCUGACAAGUCAGAUGUGAAAGCCGGGGGCUCAACCCCCGAACUGCAUUUGAAACUGUUUGUCUUGAGUAUCGGAGAGGCAGGCGGAAUUCCUAGUGUAGCGGUGAAAUGCGUAGAUAUUAGGAGGAACACCAGUGGCGAAGGCGGCCUGCUGGACGACAACUGACGGUGAGGCGCGAAAGCGUGGGGAGCAAACAGGAUUAGAUACCCGGGUAGUC